RNAcentral lists this ribosomal RNA (1166 nucleotides) under fungal sp. RNAcentral's name for it is "eukaryotic LSU rRNA". The stretch from base 552 to 1166 matches the Rfam family "Eukaryotic large subunit ribosomal RNA", at positions 1 to 624 of the family's 3401-position model. Lineage: Eukaryota; Fungi. The record is from RNAcentral.
CGAAUUGCGUUCGGGGUUGUUGCUGGCUCUCCUCUCGGGGGGAGUAUGUGCACGCCUCGCAUCCAUUUCAACCUCACUCGUGCACUUCAGAGGACCGCUCGGUUCUCUUUUUCCACACAAACCUCUGUAUAGUCAUUGUAGAACGUCUUGUAUUAAACUAAAUACAACUUUCAACAACGGAUCUCUUGGCUCUCGCAUCGAUGAAGAACGCAGCGAAAUGCGAUAAGUAAUGUGAAUUGCAGAAUUCAGUGAAUCAUCGAAUCUUUGAACGCACCUUGCGCUCCUUGGUAUUCCGAGGAGCAUGCCUGUUUGAGUGUCGUGUAAUUCUCAAUCCCGUUUGGUUUUGAAUCGAACGUGGAUUGGACUUGGGAGCUUGCUGUGCCUGUCUCUUGGUUCGGCUCUCCUUGAAUGCAUUAGCUCGGUCACGUAGUUGCCCGACGGUUCACGGUGUGAUAGUCAUUUCAUCGCCGUUCUGACCGUUUCGGUGCCUGUGUCUGCCGGCUUCUAAUCCGUGUGUUGUCCUUUGUUGGAUAUAUGCACUCUUUGACAAUUGACCUCAAAUCAGGUAGGAUUACCCGCUGAACUUAAGCAUAUCAAUAAGCGGAGGAAAAGAAACUAACAAGGAUUCCCCUAGUAACUGCGAGUGAAGCGGGAAAAGCUCAAAUUUAAAAUCUGGCGGGUUCCCCGUCCGAGUUGUAAUCUGGAGAAGCGUUUUCCGUAUCGGACCGUGUACAAGUCCUUUGGAAUGGGGCGUCAUAGAGGGUGAGAAUCCCGUCCAUGACACGGACUACCGAUGCUCUGUGAUACGCUCUCGAAGAGUCGAGUUGUUUGGGAAUGCAGCUCAAAAUGGGUGGUAAAUUCCAUCUAAAGCUAAAUAUUGGCGAGAGACCGAUAGCGAACAAGUACCGUGAGGGAAAGAUGAAAAGCACUUUGGAAAGAGAGUUAAACAGUACGUGAAAUUGUUGAAAGGGAAACGCUUGAAGUCAGUCGCGUCCGUCGAGACUCAGCCUUGCCUUUGGCCUGGUGUACUUCUCGGUGGACGGGUCAACAUCGAUUUUGAAUGGCAGAUAAAGGUCUGGGGAAUGUGGCACCUCCGGGUGUGUUAUAGCCUCUCUCCGUAUAUGCUGUUUGGGAUCGAGGACCGCAGCACGCCCUGUGGCCGGGGU